This 305-nucleotide ribosomal RNA is filed under the name uncultured Pseudomonadota bacterium. Its description in RNAcentral is "bacterial SSU rRNA". It matches the Rfam family "Bacterial small subunit ribosomal RNA", at positions 152 to 490 of the family's 1533-position model. Lineage: Bacteria; Pseudomonadati; Pseudomonadota. The record is from RNAcentral.
GGAAACUUGUGCUAAUACUGGAUAAGUCUUUACGGAGAAAGCUUUAUGCACCAUUGGAUGAGCCUGCACUUGAUUAGUUUGUUGGUGGGGUAAUGGCCUACCAAGACUUUGAUCAAUAGCUGAUUUGAGAGGAUGAUCAGCCACAUUGGGACUGAGACACGGCCCAAACUCCUACGGGAGGCAGCAGUGGGGAAUCUUGCACAAUGGAGGAAACUCUGAUGCAGCGAUGCCGCGUGAGUGAAGAAGGCCUUUGGGUUGUAAAGCUCUUUCGUCGGGGAAGAAAAUGACUGUACCCGAAUAAGAAG